Molecule: ribosomal RNA, 300 nt
Filed under: uncultured soil bacterium
Lineage: Bacteria
Description: bacterial SSU rRNA
Rfam family: Bacterial small subunit ribosomal RNA
Source: RNAcentral
AGAUUGAACGCUGGCGGCAUGCCUUACACAUGCAAGUCGAACGGCAGCACGGGAGCAAUCCUGGUGGCGAGUGGCGAACGGGUGAGUAAUAUAUCGGAACGUGCCCAGUCGUGGGGGAUAACGCAGCGAAAGCUGUGCUAAUACCGCAUACGAUCUAUGGAUGAAAGCGGGGGAUCGCAAGACCUCGCGCGAUUGGAGCGGCCGAUAUCAGAUUAGCUAGUUGGUAGGGGUAAAAGCCUACCAAGGCGACGAUCUGUAGCUGGUCUGAGAGGACGACCAGCCACACUGGAACUGACGACA